Molecule: ribosomal RNA, 253 nt
Filed under: uncultured bacterium
Lineage: Bacteria
Description: partial 16S ribosomal RNA
Rfam family: Bacterial small subunit ribosomal RNA
Source: RNAcentral
UACGGGGGGGGCAAGCGUUGUUCGGAAUUACUGGGCGUAAAGGGCUCGUAGGUGGUCAACUAAGUCGGACGUGAAAUCCCUCGGCUUAACCGGGGAACUGCGUCCGAUACUGGAUGACUUGAGUUCGGGAGAGGGAUGCGGAAUUCCAGGUGUAGCGGUGAAAUGCGUAGAUAUCAGGAAGAACACCCGUGGCGAAAGCGGCUCUCUGGAACGGUACUGACGCUGAGACGCGAAAGCGUGGGGAGCGAACAGG